AUACGGAGGGUGCGAGCGUUAAUCGGAAUUACUGGGCGUAAAGCGCGCGUAGGCGGCUUGGUCAGUCGGAUGUGAAAGCCCUGGGCUUAACCUGGGAAUUGCAUUCGAUACUGCCAGGCUGGAAUGUAGUAGAGGGUAGUGGAAUUCCGGGUGUAGCGGUGAAAUGCGUAGAUAUCCGGAGGAACAUCAGUGGCGAAGGCGACUACCUGGACUAACAUUGACGCUGAGGUGCGAAAGCGUGGGGAGCAAACAGGAUUAGAAACCCCGGUAGUCC
RNAcentral lists this ribosomal RNA (274 nucleotides) under uncultured bacterium. Its description in RNAcentral is "partial 16S ribosomal RNA". It matches the Rfam family "Bacterial small subunit ribosomal RNA", at positions 523 to 796 of the family's 1533-position model. The record is from RNAcentral.